UGGGGAAUAUUGGGCAAUGGGGGAAACCCUGACCCAGCAACGCCGCGUGAAGGAAGAAGGCUUUCGGGUUGUAAACUUCUUUUACCAGGGACGAAGAACGUGACGGUACCUGGAGAAAAAGCCACGGCUAACUACGUGCCAGCAGCCGCGGUAAUACGUAGGUGGCAAGCGUUGUCCGGAUUUACUGGGUGUAAAGGGCGUGUAGGCGGAGAUGCAAGUCAGGAGUGAAAUCCAUGGGCUUAACCCAUGAACUGCUUUUGAAACUGCAUCCCUUGAGUAUCGGAGAGGCAGGCGGAAUUCCUAGUGUAGCGGUGAAAUGCGUAGAUAUUAGGAGGAACACCAGUGGCGAAGGCGGCCUGCUGGACGACAACUGACGCUGAGGCGCGAAAGCGUGGGGAGCAAACAGG
This 407-nucleotide ribosomal RNA is filed under the name uncultured bacterium. Its description in RNAcentral is "bacterial SSU rRNA". It matches the Rfam family "Bacterial small subunit ribosomal RNA", at positions 355 to 776 of the family's 1533-position model. The record is from RNAcentral.